Long non-coding RNA from Mercurialis annua (annual mercury), 901 nucleotides. RefSeq lists it as uncharacterized. NCBI's taxonomy places the organism in Eukaryota, Viridiplantae, Streptophyta, Magnoliopsida, Malpighiales, Euphorbiaceae. The transcript has 7 exons. The record is from RefSeq and is a predicted model, not a curated record.
GGUUGUUGGGAUGGUUAUUAGUUGCGCAGAGUGAAGGUUCAGUCGUAGUCGCCGCCGCCGCCGACAAAGAUGCAGUUACAGUCACAGUCGCCGCUCCGCCGCCGCCGCCGCCGCAGCAGCAAAUGGAAGUAGGUCCUCAGCAUGUCGUGGUGUGCCGGAUUCCUCACCCUGUUCAGAAACUCUCUUUGCAUUCAAUGCAGCUAACCUCAAAAGAAAUUUGAACAAACUGUGUUAGGGAAAAAGAGUGCCGAUCCGAAGGGGUACCCGUUCCCAUUCAUCAACCGCCGUCGGAAACCCUAAAAAUUGUGGAAUCUUCCCGCUGGUAAUCAAAGCGCCGAUCCGAAGUCUACACUAAUUUUACCGAAGAAACAAUUGAAUUAUGUAGAUGUUUCAAACUUUUCGUGGAAUGAGAAAAGGACGGGACAAGGAGAAUCAUCCAUUCUUAGUAGAUCCUACCUGUACCCUUUGAGUGGGGAUACUGAUUCUGCAGGUUCUGAGCAGUAAAAUCAUCAGUGUAUCUGAAGAUAUAAAGACUGGAUGUACGAUUGUGCUGUCAAAAUAUCUAGUGGAAAUUGGCGAGCCACAUAAUCCCAAGAUAUUACUGCUUUCAGUGACCGCCAUGCUGGGUAUUAGGUGAUUCAGUUGACAAUGUGGAUAUGAUGCUGCUAAGGAUAAAUGGAGAAUCGGAGAAGGCUAUGGACCAAAGACUACAAGAUAUGAAGCAUGUUUAUUUUUUAUAAAUUUAGACAAGACACUGUAUUAAUUUCUACUUCAACUUAUACAUUACAGUUAAGGGUAUGAAUUAAGUAGAAGUUUCAUUGAGGGUGGGAAAUAGACAUUAAAAUUGCAAGUUUAUGUAAUUCUUUUUAUUAUUGAUAUUUUACCUUUUAAGCAUUGUAUA